RNAcentral lists this ribosomal RNA (1032 nucleotides) under Triticum aestivum (bread wheat). Its description in RNAcentral is "partial small subunit ribosomal RNA". Lineage: Eukaryota; Viridiplantae; Streptophyta; Magnoliopsida; Poales; Poaceae. The record is from RNAcentral.
AUGCCUCCUGACCGAGACAUUGAGUUCAUCAUCGAGCUCAUACCCGGAGCAGGACCCAUCUAUAAGAAGCCUUAUAGGAUGGGAUCGGAGGAGUUAGCAGAAUUGAAGAAGCAGUUGGAAGAGCAGUUGAGGAAGGGAUUUAUCCGCCCUAGUGCCUCCCCUUGGGGAUCACCUGUUCUGUUUGUGGCAAAGAAGGACGGUACCAUCCGCUUAUGCAUUGACUACCGCUCCCUCAACGAGGUUACAAUCAAGAACAAGUACCCACUUCCCAAGAUUGAAGAUCUGUUUGAUCAACUCAAUGGGGCCAAGGUGUUCUCCAAGAUCGACCUCAGAUCUGGGUACUACCAACUGAAGAUCAGACCCCAAGAUAUUCCGAAGACGGCAUUCGUAACCAGAUAUGGCCUGUAUGAAUGCACGGUCAUGUCCUUUGGGUUGACCAAUGCCCCAGCUUACUUCAUGUAUCUCAUGAAUAAGGUCUUCAUGGAAUAUUUGGACAAGUUCGUCAUCGUCUUCAUUGAUGACAUUCUUGUCUUCUCGAAGUCGGAAGAAGAGCACGAGCAACACUUGAGGAUGGUCCUAGACAAGCUUCGAGAGCACCAACUGUAUGCCAAGUUCAGCAAGUGUGAAUUCUGGCUGCGUGAAGUUGGAUUUCUGGGACAUGUUCUAACAGAAGAGGGAUUGUCAGUCGACCCUGCCAAGAUAGAAGCCGUGACUGGAUGGCAAUCCCCGAGCAAUGUGAAGGAAGUCAGAAGCUUCCUCGGACUCGCGGGAUAUUACCGCAAGUUCGUUGAAGGAUUCUCAAGCAUUGCCCGACCCAUGACUCAGCUCUUGAAGAAGGACAAGAAGUUCGAAUGGACGCCGAAGUGCGAAGAAAGCUUCCAGGAGCUGAAGAAGAGGCUAACCACCGCUCCAGUUCUGGCCACACCAGAUAUACACAAGGAGUUUGUGAUAUAUUGUGAUGCGUCAAGAAUCGGACUGGGGGGUGUUCUGAUGCAAGAAGGCAGAGUCGUGGCCUACCUUUCAAGGCAGCUA